UACGAAGGGUGCAAACGUUGCUCGGAAUUAUUGGGCGUAAAGCGCACGUAGGCGGCUUGGCAAGUCGGAUGUGAAAUCCCACGGCUCAACCGUGGAAGUGCACUCGAAACUGCAUAGCUAGAGUCCUGGAGAGGAAGGUGGAAUGCUUGGUGUAGAGGUGAAAUUCGUAGAUAUCAAGCGGAACACCGGUGGCGAAGGCGGCCUUCUGGACAGUGACUGACGCUGAGACACGAAAGCGUGGGGAGCAAACAGG
This 253-nucleotide ribosomal RNA is filed under the name uncultured bacterium. Its description in RNAcentral is "partial 16S ribosomal RNA". It matches the Rfam family "Bacterial small subunit ribosomal RNA", at positions 524 to 776 of the family's 1533-position model. The record is from RNAcentral.